GCUUACGGCCACACCUCCCUGAGCACGCCCGAUCUCGUCUGAUCUCGGAAGCUAAGCAGGGUCGGGCCCGGUUAGUCAUUGGAUGGGAGAUCGCCUGGGAAUACCAGGUGCUGUAAGCC
RNAcentral lists this ribosomal RNA (119 nucleotides) under Esox lucius (northern pike). The record is from RNAcentral. Lineage: Eukaryota; Metazoa; Chordata; Actinopteri; Esociformes; Esocidae.